ACCCUUGAGCCUGAUCCCUAGC
RNAcentral lists this microRNA (22 nucleotides) under Homo sapiens (human). RNAcentral's name for it is "hsa-miR-4780". Lineage: Eukaryota; Metazoa; Chordata; Mammalia; Primates; Hominidae. The record is from miRBase by way of RNAcentral.